RNAcentral lists this ribosomal RNA (253 nucleotides) under uncultured bacterium. RNAcentral's name for it is "partial 16S ribosomal RNA". It matches the Rfam family "Bacterial small subunit ribosomal RNA", at positions 524 to 776 of the family's 1533-position model. The record is from RNAcentral.
UACGUAGGGUGCGAGCGUUAAUCGGAAUUACUGGGCGUAAAGCGUGCGUAGGCGGUUUUGUAAGACAGGUGUGAAAUCCCCGGGCUUAACCUGGGAACUGCACUUGUGACUGCAAGGCUAGAGUGUGUCAGAGGGGGGUGGAAUUCCACGUGUAGCAGUGAAAUGCGUAGAGAUGUGGAGGAACACCGAUGGCGAAGGCAGCCCCCUGGGAUAACACUGACGCUCAGGCACGAAAGCGUGGGGAGCAAACAGG